UGGGGAAUUUUGCACAAUGGGGGAAACCCUGAUGCAGCGACGCCGCGUGAUUUAGAAGGCCUUCGGGUUGUAAAAAUCUUUUCUAUGGGAAGAAAAUGACAGUACCAUAGGAAUAAGGACCGGCUAAUUACGUGCCAGCAGCCGCGGUAAUACGUAAGGUCCGAGCGUUGUCCGGAAUCAUUGGGCGUAAAGGGUACGUAGGCGGCCCAGUAAGUUAGAAGUGAAAUAAUAUAGCUCAACUAUAUAAAGCUUUUAAAACUGCUAGGCUUGAGAGAUGGAAGGGAAAGUGGAAUUCCUAGUGUAGCGGUGAAAUGCGCAGAUAUUAGGAAGAAUACCGGUGGCGAAGGCGACUUUCUGGUCAUCAUCUGACGCUGAGGUACGAAAGCGUGGGUAGCAAACAGG
RNAcentral lists this ribosomal RNA (402 nucleotides) under Bacteroidota bacterium. Its description in RNAcentral is "Bacteroidetes bacterium partial 16S ribosomal RNA". It matches the Rfam family "Bacterial small subunit ribosomal RNA", at positions 355 to 776 of the family's 1533-position model. Lineage: Bacteria; Pseudomonadati; Bacteroidota. The record is from RNAcentral.